GAUCAUGGCUCAGAUUGAACGCUAGCGGGAUGCCUUACACAUGCAAGUCGAACGGCAGCACGGACUUCGGUCUGGUGGCGAGUGGCGAACGGGUGAGUAAUGUAUCGGAACGUGCCUAGUAGCGGGGGAUAACUACGCGAAAGCGUAGCUAAUACCGCAUACGCCCUACGGGGAAGGACAGGGAGUCGCAAGAACCUUGCACUAUUAGAGCGGCCGGAUAUCGGAGUUAGCUAGUUGGUGGGGUAACGGG
RNAcentral lists this ribosomal RNA (250 nucleotides) under uncultured bacterium. RNAcentral's name for it is "partial 16S ribosomal RNA". It matches the Rfam family "Bacterial small subunit ribosomal RNA", at positions 15 to 264 of the family's 1533-position model. The record is from RNAcentral.